RNAcentral lists this ribosomal RNA (253 nucleotides) under uncultured bacterium. RNAcentral's name for it is "partial 16S ribosomal RNA". It matches the Rfam family "Bacterial small subunit ribosomal RNA", at positions 524 to 776 of the family's 1533-position model. The record is from RNAcentral.
UACGAAGGGGGCUAGCGUUGUUCGGAAUUACUGGGCGUAAAGCGCACGUAGGCGGACUACUAAGUCAGGGGUGAAAUCCCGGGGCUCAACCCCGGAACUGCCUUUGAUACUGAUAGUCUCGAGUCCGGAAGAGGUGAGUGGAAUUCCGAGUGUAGUGGUGAAAUUCGUAGAUAUUCGGAGGAACACCAGUGGCGAAGGCGGCUCACUGGUCCGGUACUGACGCUGAGGUGCGAAAGCGUGGGGAGCAAACAGG